UCUUCGUAACGGUUAUUUUUGGGCAACCUUAGUUUCAAUAUUACUGUCAGGUUUUUCAACAUCAUACGUACAAUUAUGUUGCAGCUUUUGUAGUUUUUUUCGUUACUUAAUCAAUGGAAGGUCGAUCGCUUCACUGCUUGUAUAACACGUAUUCGUGUGACAACAACAGAGUGGCCGGGGUGGCGGUGUCGUUCGCUCUUUAUUCUAUGGUUUAACUUCGUGAGAGCCAAGAGCACGUGCGUAAACAUCAUGGCAUUGAGGUACCAACUGCAACUUAUGGGCAGGCUUCGCAGCGUUUUGCCAGCAUGCGGUGCCUUUGUGACAACGCUGAAUCAACCAGUACACCACCAGCCCGUGCUGCAUAAUGCACAAAGGCAACCGCUUAUUAUCAGCUACUGCUGUUAUGCGAAAGGAGCAAAUCGACCCAAGCACUCUGCAAAGGAAACCAAGCCUAAAAUUACACUUAACGAUGAUGAACUUGCGGAAGUGGUCCGUAUUCAGAAUUUUCGAUCUGAAAUGCAAAAGGUGGUGCAUCGAUUGCAGGAAAGCUUCAUCAAACAUCUUAGUUUGAACUCUGCUGCAGGAAGCAUUGACACAAUACCAGUGCAUGUUGAUGGACAGGAGUAUAGCCUGGCAGAGGUGGCCCAAAUAGCCAAAAAGAAUCCCCAGCUUAUUGUGCUUCAUAUGGCGAGUUUCCCUGAUGCUAUCAAGGCAACUAUACAGGCCAUUCAGACAUCUGGGUUGAACAUUUCUACUCAGCAGGAUGGAACGACCGUGUUCUGCCACCUUCCCAAGAUCACUAGAGAGCACAGAGAAUCACUAGCUAAAAAUGCAAAGACCUUAUUUAACAAGGCAAAAGAGGAUCUGCUCAGUGUAGAGCGAAAGUAUAUCAAAGAGAUCCAGAAAAAUAAGCAGAACGUCUCAGAAGAUCUCUCAUACAAUGCCACAUUACAGGUGAAAAUGGAAGUAGAAAAUACAAUCAACAAAGCUGAUGCCAUGACAAAAGCCAAACAGCAGGACUUGUUGGGAGGAAAAUAGUCCCUUAGAACGCUACAAAGAGAAAUAAUCAUUUAAAACAAGAACGGAUUAUACAUGAAAGAGGAAACGUGCUAAAGGCCAUGUGGCCUGACAGAGGCUCCUGCUCUUAAGCGCCUUUCGUAUACAUGAUAAAUCAAUGCAGGAAAAAAGCAAAUAUAGCACAACAAAGAGUGAGUGUGAUGCAGAAAAUACAAAUAAACAAGAUAGUUUGUACAUUAUACAAUUACUAUGCGAAAAGACAUUCAAUGCUUCAAAUUUUUUGUUUGUACAUUCAUAUUACAGCACAGAUUAAAACGUACAUAUAUAGUGCAUAAAAAAAUUUAGUGCAACAGUAUUUUGUGUAUAAGAAUUUGAUAAUGUAAGCUUUGAUAAUGCAAUACCAAAAUGUGGGAUUGCAGUAUCUACAAAUAAAUAAAUAAGAGAAAGGAUUUUGUACAUUGUUUAAAGUGAGGUGCAUAAAAAUCAAUUUUUUUUUUUCAGCGAUGUUUAGUAGCCUAGGUAUUUGAUAGUUUAAAUCCUUAUGUCCGUAGUUAGUAAACGUAAAUGGUAUUGUUUCGAUUUGAUUAUGUAAUGGAUAUCGAGGAGGAGAAAACAACGUAGUCUGUGUUUUUUUAUAUGUAAGAGUAAUCCAUAUUAGAAAACUUAAUUUGCUCGGGUCAGUAAAUGUUUGCUAAAAAAAUUUUGCACGGGUAGGUCAUGUGACCUACCGUGGUAGUUUUCAAAAAUUCGGACUACUCGUUUUUGCAGGCUUAAUAACUUCUCAUAGUUUCUUGCUGUCAUUGUUCCCCAAUUGAAGGUUAAAUUAAGUUAGCUACGAGUAAAAAAAGGGCAUAGUAUAUUGCUUUCUUUAGCCAUAAUGGUAUUAGAUCACCAAUUUUAUAUAUACCACCUACUACUUUACUAAGAUCAUUGCUCAGCUUGUUGACAUGAUUGUCCCAGGAGAUUUCUCCCGAAACCAUACCCCCAACAGCUUUUGCGUUGUUACCUGUUCUAACCUCUUUGCUUGAAGUAGAACAGUUAUAUUAACAGGGAAUGGCUUAUUUAUUGGUUCAAAUAUUAAAUACUUUGUUUUGUUGACAUUCAAUUGUAGUGCAAUUGUACAGCCAUUCAGAUAAUAAAUUCAAGUAAUCAUUUAUUUCUUUUUCUAAGCAUUGCAGGGAAGAAUUUGCAAAGAAAAGAUUAGUAUCAUCCACGUACAUGUUGAUAUUAGGUGAGAAAGAAAUGUUAGGAAGGUCAUUAAUUUAAAGGUUAAAUACAGGACCAAGUAUGGAUGCCCGUGGCACACCAGUCUGUAUUUUGAGAAGUGAGGAAGUUGCCUGAUUAAAUGAAACAAACUGGUAACAAUCAUAUCCCCAGUAAUUUAAUAUAAAACUAUUUUCAUUGAACAAUUCUGGAUUUCGAAAUUCCCACCAGUAGGAGUGGUUAGAUAACCUUUGAGCGAUACAAAAUCGUGAGUACCAGACGUCACGGAGUUCACAUGAACCACCAAAGCGCUGACGAAUAUGAACUCGCCCGUCUGCACAAUUUCACACGUGCAGCCACUUUCAUUGACACAGGAGUUAGGUGGGAGAUGCACACUUCCGUCUCCCAGCCAUGCUCUGGCAAAUGCAUGUGCUGUUGCUCUGAAAUUGCGUUGUCACCAGUGUUUUAACAUCACACUAUUUUGCUCUUAACAAUGACAUUUUCAUGAUGGCUAUCGCAACAAGUAUGCAAAAGGGAGCCACGUCUAAAUAAUAGACUUUAAAAUUGAAGUAUUACCUUUUCGCCAUCUGCUGUCAGUCAUACUUCAUGAAAGCGUUCCUCAUAAGCAUACAAAGGUUAUGCUGUAGUCAGUUUAACCUCUAAAUUUGGUGUCUACACUCCUUUAAAGGCCCCUCACCAGGUCUGGCCAUUUUGAGCUGACAAGCGCAGAUCACACAUUGCGUGAUAACGAUCGUGUCUGCAAAGUAUUACAUCGCAACGCGCCACGGAAAGAUCUGAAAUUUCAAACCGAACGCCAUUUUUCCUUCUCCUCGCGGCCGCCACACUCCAAGCCAGAGGAUUAUGUACUCGUGUGCCUGCGCCUACGUACUGGUGUCUGCAAUGUUACGUCGCUUGUGGUCACUCGUGACUUCAAGAAUUAUUCAAGACAACAUCUGUUAUCUGUGCGAUCUGGUGCUUGAAUUGACGAAUUGAAGUUUAGAGAAAUAAUGAAACACAAACGGAAUGUCUGCGUGUUUUUUGUUUUACUUCACACCGAAGCAAGAGAGACGUACUUCCACUUCAUCUGCUUGUUCUCAAGGUCGUGCAGUCAUGUGCGCAGGUACUGAAACUAUGCCAUUUUCUACCGUGUUCCAGUGCAUGAUCAUGCUCUGUGAUCUGUUUGUUCUGCCUUAGUAUUCAUGUAGCACUGAAUUAUACUGCUAGUCAUGUUUCCUUGUGUACAGCGCACAAAAUCGUGUGCUGCGUGAACGAGACAACAGCUCAUGCGCGACGCCGUCAGCAGAAGUGUGUAGCGCUGAAAUAUAAACAAAAAAGCGAGGAGAAAAAAAAUGAAGGCGGGGCCUGUGACGUAUGCGUCCUUGCGAUCCUCGAGGUCCGGUAUGGGAGAAUGCAGGGAAGGAAUUUCACUUGCGGAGGCUAGACUGGGCGAGUGGAGAGAGCAUCUUACUUGGCAGUAGAGGCCGCCUGCUGAAAUCACGAGUUCGCAGCACUGAAAUAUUUCUAUCUCGGCUAUUAAUGAGCCAAUUUCAAAACUUUUUGCAGCAGAACGCUUCUUAGAGAACAUGUAACAACUUCCAGCGUAUAACCAAAAUUUGCUGUGGGGCCUGGUGAGGGGCUCCUUAAGAAAAAAAAAAAAAAAAAGAAA
RNA transcript from Dermacentor andersoni, 3886 nucleotides. It is a transcript of the gene named mitochondrial ribosome recycling factor 1, with no coding region annotated. NCBI's taxonomy places the organism in Eukaryota, Metazoa, Arthropoda, Arachnida, Ixodida, Ixodidae. The record is from RefSeq and is a predicted model, not a curated record.